CAGUUAAGAGUGUUUGGAUGGAA
RNAcentral lists this non-coding RNA (23 nucleotides) under Arabidopsis thaliana (thale cress). Lineage: Eukaryota; Viridiplantae; Streptophyta; Magnoliopsida; Brassicales; Brassicaceae. The record is from RNAcentral.